AAAAAAGUUAAAUCAAUAACAUUAGUAUGUCAAACUAAUUUUAUUAAAUUGUUAAUAUUUCUUA
Molecule: transfer RNA, 64 nt
Filed under: Eristalinus arvorum
Lineage: Eukaryota; Metazoa; Arthropoda; Insecta; Diptera; Syrphidae
Description: tRNA-Asp
Source: RNAcentral